This 253-nucleotide ribosomal RNA is filed under the name uncultured bacterium. RNAcentral's name for it is "partial 16S ribosomal RNA". It matches the Rfam family "Bacterial small subunit ribosomal RNA", at positions 524 to 776 of the family's 1533-position model. The record is from RNAcentral.
UACGAAGGGGGCUAGCGUUGCUCGGAAUGACUGGGCGUAAAGGGCGCGUAGGCGGAUGGCACAGUCAGAUGUGAAAUUCCCGGGCUUAACCUGGGGGCUGCAUUUGAUACGUGUUGUCUUGAGUUCGGAAGAGGGUCGUGGAAUUCCCAGUGUGGAGGUGAAAUUCGUAGAUAUUGGGAAGAACACCGGUGGCGAAGGCGGCGACCUGGUCCGACACUGACGCUGAGGCGCGAAAGCGUGGGGAGCAAACAGG